RNAcentral lists this long non-coding RNA (404 nucleotides) under Sorghum bicolor (sorghum). Its description in RNAcentral is "long non-coding RNA (SBIC_LNC014284)". Lineage: Eukaryota; Viridiplantae; Streptophyta; Magnoliopsida; Poales; Poaceae. The record is from RNAcentral.
UCUUUUGUGGUAUUUCUGGAUCCUUUCCAAGGCAGUAAUGGUAUAUGCCUUCUCUCAAAGUAUGUGGUAUUUUUGGUGUGAGGCAUAGUGAUAUUGCCUUCUCUCUCACCCUACUCUAAUAAGGUUUUGAUAUCUGGAGCUCAUAGGUGGGAGACAGAUAAUACAUACUUACAAGACAUUUAAUGCAUAGUCAAACCAUGGAUCCAGAGAAAAAAGUCAAUAAGUUAAAUCAAGAUGUGCAUGUGUGGCGAAUGAAUGGUGUAUGGUGAUGUUGGUGAUAACAAUGGUGAAAGUCUAAUUCUACUUUUGUUGUUUUUAGGGGAUACAUACCUUUCUUGCACUUUAAAGCUUUUUGAGGAGAAAGAGAUGCUCUAUAUUUUCUUUUUCUUUCCUCUCAGGUGGGU